Brassica napus (rape) is the source of this 3099-nucleotide long non-coding RNA. RefSeq lists it as uncharacterized. The transcript is spliced from 4 exons. Lineage: Eukaryota; Viridiplantae; Streptophyta; Magnoliopsida; Brassicales; Brassicaceae. The record is from RefSeq and is a predicted model, not a curated record.
GCCCUCUACUCGGUUUUGCAUAUGUUGUUGAGAGAGUAGUCCAGAUCUCUGUCGCAGUCGAAGCCGUUGACAGGAUUGGUUGGAUCGUGAUGGUGAUCGCGCCAAGAAGACCGCUGUAUAUAAGGCGAUCUUGUCUCUUCCACAUAGUGUAUUCAGGGUUGGGGACAAUUCCGACAUCAGUGGUGAGCGUUGGUGAGGGUACGACGGUGGAGCCGUCGAUGUAGCCUGCCAGACCGUAGCCGUCGAGAAGAGCGUGGACCUGUCUACUCCACAUCAGGAAGUUGGAUCCAGUGAGCUUUGUUACAUUUGUCAUAUUGACAUUGAGAAGAGUUGGUGUAGCCGAGACGGUGAUGGUCUCGCUGGCUGAAGCAUGAGAGUUUGUUGUGUCAGACAUGGUUAGAGGCGACGUAGAAGAAAAAAUUUGAAAGGAGAAGAGGCGGCUAGGUUAAUGAUGAUGGCUCUGAUACCAUAUAGAGAAUAGGCUGAAUAGCUUUAUUAUCAAGUAUACGGAAGGUAUUUAUACAAGAUACACGUAGGGUAUUAACACUAAUGAAUAUUUACAUAGAAGUCCUUAGAGUUCUAUAUACUUCCUUAACAUUGACCGCCUUAUUCAUUUUAUCUGCAUAUGAGUUCAUCACUUAACUUUGUUACUUGUCUUCCACUUCAAUGUUGAGCUUUUAAUUUAUACUUAAUUGGGGCUUAUUUUGGUGUAACUUUACCGGGGCUCUAAGUCGGAAUAUAUAUCCCAAUAGUCAUAUCUUGAAAUGUUAAAUUGGCCAGGGAAGCCCAAUUUUAUAGUGUCAAGCUAUGGUUUAUACCUGAUUUAGGCCUGAUCUUAAAUCGUGCAUAGGGAUGUUAAACGGGUCGAGGACUUGUGGACCAUCGCCUAACCGAGUCUACUAUGGGAGGAUGACCAUCUCCGAUAGUUUACUCUAUUUUUUUUCUCUAAAAUAGAAUAACUAUAUAAUAGAGUUGGAUGUUGCUCCAAUAGUACUCUAUUUUAGAGUGAAAAAUUGAGUGAUGAACAAAAAAAACAAGCUACUCUAUAGAGUGGAAAAUAGAGUAUCAUUAGAGCAUUUUUACUCUAAACUCUAUUUUUGAAUGGAAAAUAGAGUUGGGUUGGAGAUGCACUUAGAUGUAAGGUCUAUUUAGACUGAAUUACGAAUUUGUUUCAAAUAUUUUCAUUUAGAUUAAACUUUGGUACGACUUUACGACGAAAAACUAUGUGAAAAAAGAAGAAGAAGAAAACUGAAUGGCAUGGGCCAUUUUCCAGCCCGCCCUUGUUGUGUUUCAAACUGUGUUCUAAAAUCUACAACAAUAAAGUUGACUGGAGUCUCUCUUCAUCCCUCCACAUCAACACUCCUACCUUCAUUUUGCGACACGUGGCAGAUAAUUUGAGUGUUUUUUUAUUAUGUUUCAAAAGUAUUAAAGCGCUGAAAUGCAAUGGGUUUCUGCUAAAUCAUUGGGCCCUCAAUAGUCUCAUCUAUCUGGCCCGACUAGUGUUUAAGGUUAGAUGUACGCUUUUAUCCAAUGUGACGCCGUAAUCCUAUCGUCAGCCAUCUUCUCCGAUGAGAUUUCCUUUAACGUUUCUCUCUUCUUAAACUCCAGCUUUAAUUUAAUUAUUAAACCCCACCCCACCUCUCCUCCCACUCCGUCUCAUUUACUCAGAUUCACGAACGGCGUCUGUAACAGCUACAAACUCGACCUAUAAAUUAGUAUUUUGGAAGCAAUGGAGACCUACACUGUUCAGACAUUUGAUAGCCUAAACCAUCUUAAGCAUGCAUCGCCUUCAAAUAUGUAGGCUUCAUACGUUCUUCUCGGCAACCUGAAAGGACGUCUGUCUGUUGAGGUGGUCUGAGGUUCUCGAUGAGCAGGAACCAUCAACUCAAGCCGCGUCGAUACGUUCCGACUCUCUGACUCUCCUGUCUCCAUCCGUUUCACUGACGGAACGUCCUUAGAAGCAAAAACAUACACGAAAAAGCAUCUCCCACUGAGAUUUACCGAUUCUGCAGUUGUUGUUGGCAAAUAACAACAAACAACUACCAGAUAUUGUUCCCAUAAGCUUCAUUCGACUUUGUUGGUGAACUCAGUGUAAUCAAGAGCAAUCAAUGACAGAAUUGACGGUCCCCAGCACGUAAUGGUGGCUCUCCGCAUAGAAGGGGGUGUCUAAUGUUUGUAUCAUUGUGUUUGACAAUCGAGCUGUCACCUUUUAAGCUAAGUUUGACAAGAACGGCUUUGAGCCAAAGGUUAUUCUCUUUACAAGCACCCCAAAGUUGUUGGAUGUAAGUUAAUUGUUUUCCCUUAAAAAUCAUGUAUUAAGACAGGGAUAAGCUUCUACUUUUGAUGAAAUAUAUGUGUUGUUGUUCUUAUUCAAUGUAGUUUAACGAAGUUCUGAAUGUUGGAAAUGAUCUUGACAGCCAGUUUCAUAUAUGGAACUUGAUAGGAGCAUUCGCGAAAUAGCUGCCACCUUGGAUCAGGUUAAGUUUUUUGCUUUUAAUCUCUUUCCUUGAACCCUUCUUCUCCUGUUGAAAAUUGUAUAUGAAUGUGGUUUUACAACAGCACUCAACUUCCUUCUCAAUUCGUUGUCCUUAAAGCUUGAUCCACAUGAUAAACUAUCUCAGGCUUCAGCACUAUCUUCCCAAACUGAUGACCUUGAGAAGCUUUAGCUUUAGCAUAAAAAGGAUAUCUCGCUUUCCUGAUAAAAAUCUGUUCGUACUGUGUGGCAUAGGCUGAAGAAGCUGCACGCGAGUCAAAGUGUACGAUACAAGAUUGGUAUGCAGAGAUGCGAGGAAGAAAUGAGGAACGCGAGUCAGUGAUGGUCAAAAGUUUGCUGAAGAGGCAAUGAAGCAGAACAACUGUUUCCUCCUUCUGAGAUUUCUUGCUUUGAAGCUCUACCUUAAUACCUCUUAGUAAGUUCGUUAUCUAAUUAACUUCUGAAUCAGAGUCCAUAUGACUUGAUUUGGAGCUAUAUAAGAUUUUAAUUGAUUAAUUGUAUAGAUUGUUGAAGAUUUCUUUUUAUUAGAUUCUUCCUUAGUUCUUAUUGAAAUUUGACCCGUUACAAAAGUCAAAAUAAUAGUAAAAUGGUACAUUUUGCAUACA